This 28-nucleotide non-coding RNA is filed under the name Mus musculus (house mouse). The record is from RNAcentral. RNAcentral also lists the same sequence under 1 other name. Lineage: Eukaryota; Metazoa; Chordata; Mammalia; Rodentia; Muridae.
UGUCAUUUCAACCAAUUAGACUGAAAGC